AAAAAAAAUUGAUGAGAAACUACUCGGCGAAUCCGAGACAUCGAGGGAAAUUGAACCUAAAAUGAGAGAAAUUUUCUCUCUCUUCAAACAAAGAGAGUUCUUCUGAUUUCCCCUGCCUUUAGGCAGAGUGAAGGCUUCUACUUUUGGUUUUCAGCAUGGACUUGUGGGAGUGCUCUUCCCAUACGAAGAUAAGUUGUAUAUUCUGCUUUUGAUUGUGUUCGAUUUCGUUUGCAUGUUGGUUUGUGCUUCAACGAAAGGCUUUCUGAGUGAAGACCUUUGUGUGUUGUGUUGUUUGUGCUUGAGCUGAACAAAUCGACAAUGGGAGGAGAUCAGAUGGCUCUGCUAGGGAGUUUCAAAGGUCUUUGCUUUCCAUCUGCAAGGGGUUGGGUUUUAGACCUAACGGUUGGUGCUGGUUCAAUUCAAGCAAGUUUGCUCCAUGUGGUUGAGAGGGCUUCUUUAGAUCUAGCUAUUUAGCAUCUUCGGGAUUUGCUUAUACACUACGUUGGGAAGGCUAUCCUGCUUGGCUUAUAAGUGCAUUGAGCUCUACAACUACACCCUUUCACGAUAUGGAGUUAAGCAUGCUACCUCUCUGGAAAUUUUGGAGGCUUACUUUAAUUAAUAGUUAUGGUGUGCAAAGAAGAGUGGCUAUGGUAGCGCCUUAUAUUGCGGGGUUGCGUUGUUUGGCUCCAAUCUCUACUCGGUUUUUCUGUGGUUGGCAACUUAGGCAGGAGAUGGCAAUAUGGUUUAUAAUUCUUAAGUUUCUUUUCUGUUUGGGAAGGGUAUGAUAAUAUUAUAAUAUUAUAAUAUGAGAAAUUUAUAAAUUUAAUUGAAUUUGUUAACAAGCCGAGUUUGAG
This 854-nucleotide unclassified non-coding RNA is filed under the name Hevea brasiliensis (rubber tree). Lineage: Eukaryota; Viridiplantae; Streptophyta; Magnoliopsida; Malpighiales; Euphorbiaceae. The record is from RNAcentral.